RNAcentral lists this long non-coding RNA (449 nucleotides) under Rattus norvegicus (Norway rat). RNAcentral describes it as "long non-coding RNA NONRATT006385". The record is from RNAcentral. Lineage: Eukaryota; Metazoa; Chordata; Mammalia; Rodentia; Muridae.
UUUUUUUUUUUUUUUUCAGAGCUGGGAACUGAACCCAGGGCCUUUCCUUUGCUAGGCAAGCGCUCUACAACUGAGCUAAAUCCCCAACCCCGCUAUUUGCUUUUUAAUUUGUCUCUGAAGAUAUCUGUUGGGAGGCCACCUACAGGAAGUACAUUAAACACCAUCUACCAUAAACCUGACUGAUCUCCCCCCCUUCUAUGCACAGCAAGUACCCAUUACUCACAGGCACAAUAGUACUUUUCAAAGGAAGACAUAGGGGGCAAGGUGGGAUCCACUUCUCAUUUUGUCAUGGGCCAGCCUAUUUGUGGUUUGAUGAAGCAAGAUUUCUUCUUUUCAAAACAAUAAAACAUUUUUUGCUGUGUGCUAAGAAGCAGAACUUUUCCUCAGUGUCUUCAUUAACUUGAGUUUAGAUACGACCACGAAUAGAAUCCCCAUGAUGGCACAGUGGC